Molecule: ribosomal RNA, 432 nt
Filed under: uncultured bacterium
Lineage: Bacteria
Description: partial 16S ribosomal RNA
Rfam family: Bacterial small subunit ribosomal RNA
Source: RNAcentral
ACGAACGCUGGCGGCAUGCCUAACACAUGCAAGUCGAACGAGACCUUCGGGUCUAGUGGCGCACGGGUGCGUAACGCGUGGGAACCUGCCUUUAGGUUCGGAAUAACUCAGAGAAAUUUGAGCUAAUACCGGAUGAUGUCUUCGGACCAAAGAUUUAUCGCCUUUAGAUGGGCCCGCGUUGGAUUAGCUAGUUGGUGGGGUAAAGGCCUACCAAGGCGACGAUCCAUAGCUGGUCUGAGAGGAUGAUCAGCCACACUGGGACUGAGACACGGCCCAGACUCCUACGGGAAGCAGCAGUGGGGAAUAUUGGACAAUGGGCGAAAGCCUGAUCCAGCAAUGCCGCGUGAGUGAUGAAGGCCUUAGGGUUGUAAAGCUCUUUUACCCGAGAUGAUAAUGACAGUAUCGGGAGAAUAAGCUCCGGCUAACUCCGUG